CCUACGGGUGGCAGCAGUGGGGAACAUUGCGCAAUGGGCGAAAGCCUGACGCAGCGACGCCGCGUGAGGGAUGAAGGUCUUCGGAUCGUAAACCUCUGUCAGCAGGGAAGAACGGUCACUGUGCUAAUCAGCAGUGAAUUGACGGUACCUGCAAAGGAAGCACCGGCUAACUCCGUGCCAGCAGCCGCGGUAAUACGGAGGGUUCGAGCGUUAAUCGGAAUUACUGGGCGUAAAGCGCUCGUAGGCGGUAUGUCAAGUCAAGGGUGAAAUCCCCGCGCUGAACGUGGGAACUGCCUUUGAAACUGGCAAACUGGAGUGUGUGAGAGGAUAGUGGAAUGCCAGGUGUAGGAGUGAAAGCCGUAGAUAUCUGGAGGAACAUCAGUGGCGAAGGCGACUAUCUGGCACAUAACUGACGCUGAGGAGCGAAAGCGUGGGUAGCAAACAGGAUUAGAUACCCGUGUAGUC
RNAcentral lists this ribosomal RNA (465 nucleotides) under uncultured bacterium. RNAcentral describes it as "partial 16S ribosomal RNA". It matches the Rfam family "Bacterial small subunit ribosomal RNA", at positions 338 to 795 of the family's 1533-position model. The record is from RNAcentral.